This is a non-coding RNA of Schizosaccharomyces pombe (fission yeast), 288 nucleotides long. The record is from the annotation of a GenBank genome assembly. Lineage: Eukaryota; Fungi; Ascomycota; Schizosaccharomycetes; Schizosaccharomycetales; Schizosaccharomycetaceae.
AAGAAAAACAACUCACAAAUUAUCUCGUGUAAUGACUGGUAACAAAAACAACUGAAUCACAUAAAGAAGAACAAAAGAAGGAAAAAAAGAAUUACAGUGUACAUCGAAGCAGUAAUUCCAUUCCAGCUGAUAAUCUGUCGAACUUAAAAUGGUAUCAUUACUUUUCAUUAAAAAUCGUUUCGCAAUAAAGUAAUACAUAGUAGCCAUAAUCACACCGACAGCUCCAAAGUCUACAAAUAACAUGAAAGUAAUCGUCGUAACAUAUCCUUUCGGAGUGUUCAUGUAAAA